CCCUUAGAUGUUCUGGGCGGCCCGCGCACUACAAUGGCGUGUGCAGCGAGUGCCGAAGUAGAGUUUUCCGAGGUAUUCUUGCAAUGCUCGUUUUGAUGGGGAUAGACCCUUGCAACUGUUGGUUUUGAACGAGGAAUUCCUUGUAAGCAUGGUUUAUCAUCCGACGCUGAAUGCGUCCCUGCCCUUUGUACACACCGCCCGUCGCUCCUACCGAUGAGUCGUCCGGUGAAGUUCGUAGACCUCGUGAUCGCGGAUCACUGGGGGAAACAAAAUGAACCUCGCGGUUUAGAGGAAGGAGAAGUCGUAACA
RNAcentral lists this ribosomal RNA (309 nucleotides) under uncultured eukaryote. Its description in RNAcentral is "partial 18S ribosomal RNA". It matches the Rfam family "Eukaryotic small subunit ribosomal RNA", at positions 1470 to 1796 of the family's 1831-position model. The record is from RNAcentral.